UACGGAGGGUGCAAGCGUUAAUCGGAAUUACUGGGCGUAAAGCGCACGUAGGUGGUUUGUUAAGCCAGCUGUGAAAUCCCCAGGCUCAACCUGGGAACUGCGUCUGAUACUGGAUGGCUUGAAUUCGGGAGAGGAAUGCGGAAUUCCAGGUGUAGCGGUGAAAUGCGUAGAUAUCUGGAGGAACACCGGUGGCGAAGGCGGCAUUCUGGACCGAUAUUGACGCUGAGGAGCGAAAGCCAGGGGAGCAAACGGG
This 253-nucleotide ribosomal RNA is filed under the name uncultured bacterium. RNAcentral describes it as "partial 16S ribosomal RNA". It matches the Rfam family "Bacterial small subunit ribosomal RNA", at positions 524 to 776 of the family's 1533-position model. The record is from RNAcentral.